GGGUGUUACAGCUCUUUAGAAUUUGUCUAGCAGGCUUUCAGGUCUUCGCCAGAAAGCCUCA
Callithrix jacchus (white-tufted-ear marmoset) is the source of this 61-nucleotide small nuclear RNA. Its record names the gene U7. It matches the Rfam family "U7 small nuclear RNA". Rfam says of the family: Animal histone pre-mRNAs are spliced by a different mechanism than nuclear pre-mRNAs and self-splicing introns. NCBI's taxonomy places the organism in Eukaryota, Metazoa, Chordata, Mammalia, Primates, Cebidae. The record is from Ensembl.